This is a non-coding RNA of Myodes glareolus (Bank vole), 1236 nucleotides long. Lineage: Eukaryota; Metazoa; Chordata; Mammalia; Rodentia; Cricetidae. The record is from RefSeq and is a predicted model, not a curated record.
CUCCUGCCCAGAUCACCGAAGAAACAGGAUGUAAGCUGCUCCACUGAAAAAGGACAGCUUGAGAAUCCAGGUGUAAGUAUGGGUUUGGAGAGAUGGUUGCUUGUGAAGUGCUUACCACACAAAAUGAGUACUUGAAUUCAGAUCCCCGGCACUAACACAGGUACUGGAUAUGCAGCUUUUGUCUGUAACACUGGAGAGAGAGAGACAGGAGGACCCUGGAGCUCACUGGUCAGCCUAUCUAGUCAAAUUAUUGAACCCCAGGUUCAGGAAAAGACCUUGUCUCAAAAAAAAAAUAGAGACAAACUGGGAAACAUAUCUGUUAUUGGCCUCUCACCUCCACAUAUGCCUGAACACACAUGUGCACACACGCACACACACACACACACACACACACACACACACACAUCAUCAUCAUCAUACACAUACAAACAAUCAAUAUGACUCAAUGUCUGCAAUUGGCCAGAAAGCCCCUGAAAUGUGCCUGUCUCUACCUCCUCAGUACUGGGCUGACAAUAGUGCCACCACAACUACAUUUUUAUAUGGGUUCUUGGGAUUGAACUCAGGUCUUUGUACUUGUGUAAAAAGCACUUUACUGACCGACCAAUCUACCCAGCCCCUUUCAGUUUUAAAACACAGACUAUGCUUACAAACCCAUCAAUUAUAAUAAUGGAAGAAAAUCCCUACCCUUGGUAAGUCACUUUUACGUUGUAAUCGUAGGGCAAAUGGAUGAAAGCAGUGCUUGUAGUAGCAUAAAAGCACUAAAUCUAGAGGCUUUCUUAAGUCAAAGAGAUUAGUCAGUGCUUCAUUCCUGGCUUCUCUUAGAUGACAUUUGAGGCGAAAGACUCAGGUAAGCCCUUUAAGGUUUAGUACUGUAAAUGGAGGAGAAAUCUAAUGGUUUUAAUAAAAUGCACAAUAGACAAGGAGAAGAGAGAAUGCCAUUUUUAUUGCUUCAAUUAAAAUGGAGAGAGGAGAAAAGGAAAUCCCUUAAUUGUGAUUUUCUUAUGAAACAUUCCACAGAGAGACAUUAGUCACAGUGCUUGUAUAGAGAUUACAAUUGGCAAGCUUAUGGAUUAUCUGCAUUAACACCAGGAAUUAAAAUGAAUGGCUGUUAGCUUUAUGGAUUAGAUUUGCAGGUUUGCUGUCUUGCUAGCACAGAAAUAACUUUGUUUCUUAAAACUGACCACUGUACUGGGUGAUGUCUGCAGAGGGCCGGGUCCUGAUGGAGGAUCCUUCUUG